Molecule: non-coding RNA, 360 nt
Organism: Tinamus guttatus (white-throated tinamou)
Lineage: Eukaryota; Metazoa; Chordata; Aves; Tinamiformes; Tinamidae
Source: RefSeq, a predicted model, not a curated record
AGGAUACACAGCGUUUUUGGGACACGCCUUUGUUGGAUUUUAAUACAUGUCCUGCUAACGACAGCUUUCAACUAUGGAAUCGACGGUUGAUGAUGAGGCGAUGGCAGCAUAAAUGAAGAUCAAGUAAGGAAGGCAGAACGAUGCCCAAGGGUGGGUGUUCUAAAACACCACAGCCAGAAGAUUUCUCUCUCAGCAACGACAUGGUGGAGAAACAAACGGGGAAAAAGGAUAAAGAUAAAGUUUCUCUGACCAAGACUCCGAAGUUGGACCGGAACGAUGGCGGCAAAGAGGUGAAAGAGAGAGCUACGAAGCGCAAGUUACCUUUCACUGUCGGAACAAAUGGAGAUCAAAAAGACUCGG